Molecule: long non-coding RNA, 614 nt
Filed under: Heterocephalus glaber (naked mole-rat)
Lineage: Eukaryota; Metazoa; Chordata; Mammalia; Rodentia; Bathyergidae
Description: lncRNA (ENSHGLG00000050846.1)
Source: RNAcentral
CAACAGUGAGGCAGGAACAGGUGGCAGGGAGUAACCAGGACCGACCCAAAGUGUGCAGGCGCCAGCAGUCAGAAGAGCGCCCCAGCUGGAUGGGAGGCCGGCUGCUCUGUGUACCAGGCGUCCCACUGUUGAGUCAUCAGUGACUCGGUCCAGAGGAGCCUCACGCGGGUGUGGGAUGCAGCCAGCCAGAAGAGCGAGCAUCCUGGGGCCUGGAGCAGCAGCCACGUGAGGACACAGGAGGAGGAGGGAACGCAUGCACUCGGUGGUAGCAGGCUUGCUAUUGCCUGACCAUGGAGCAGCCCGCCAGCCAGGAUGGGACCACAAGGGCUUCGGGACUUGGAACUGGCAGUGGGGUCCAGGGACACUGCUCACUGGAGGCAACGACACAGACACAGGAACCUGACCUUGAGGGGUCUCGCUGUGUAAUUCAGGCUGGCCUCAAACUCAAAGGCAAUCCUCCUGCCUCAGCCUCCUAAGUGAAAAUUAAGCUGCAUCCAAGAUGAACAAGAUCUUGUGAGGAACCAUCCAUCUACCGUGCCAUGCUGCUUUCUACCUAAGAAGAUCAGGUUGGGUGAUGCUAUCUAAGUAGUUAAAUAAACCAAGGAGAAGAUUAA